AUAUGCAAAAAGACAAGUCACUCGUACGGUUCCUAGCGUAUCCCCAAAUCGAAUCGCCCGUGGUGGCGGCGGCGGCGGCGGCCUGAAUCGCCCCUGGCGGCGACCGACGCAUUCCUACGGUUUUUUUUCAUCGGAGCGGGCGGCGGAAGGCGGAGGGUGCAUCGGAGAGGGGCCUCUUCCUCGCGGCGGCAGCGGCAACGACGGGCUUGUUCCUCGCGGCGGCAGCGGCGGGCUUGUCCCUUGCGGCGGUGGUGGCGGCGCGGCUGCGUGGGGGAAGGGAAGCAGCUGCGGCAAUGGCCGCGUGGGCGAAGAGAAGCGGCUUCGGUAGCAGAGGGGCGCAAGGUCUGCUGCCGCAACAGACGCCUAGGGUUCCACCUUCUCCAACCCUAACCAGCUCUGCCGCAGCCAACGAGAUCUCGCUCUCACCGUCAACACCAGCAAAGGCUUCAACCGUCAUCCACCUAAGAGAGAAAACCUAUUGGAGAAAACAAUGGACUACUUUCCAGAGAGAUUGGACUUCUUACACGGUACCAUGGCUCUGUGAUCAUUUUGAAACAGAAGAAUUUAAGGCUAACCGCUCAAACCUACCUUAUGUUCACAUGAAGGAACAAAGUCAUUUGUAGCUGUUCAACAUGAAUUAGUAAGUCACUAUUACUUAUCUUUAUCUUGUGUCACAAUUGUUGUGAAAGCAGAAUAUAUAAACUUGUAGCUAUCUUAUAUUCAUGUCUUUUGACUUCAAAUCUUGUAUUAUCAGAAUUGUGUCAAUAUCAGACUGUACAAGGAGUGUACUCUAGUGAUAAGAAGGGAUGGGCAUCAGAAGAUGCCAGGAAUAAACAUGAAGAAAUGUUGCAGAAGCGAAAUGAACAUAUAAAGGAGGGCGAAGUACCUUUAACCGAGCAACAGAUUUGCGAGCAGGUGCUUGGUAAGGCAUAUGGUUACAUCAGAGGUCAGGGUCAUGGACGGCACUAGUGCGAGACGGCUCGGUUUCCCAACUGAUAGAUCUGUUUUCAGGUCAGGCUACAGAUCUAUUCUUCUGAUGGUAUGAUCAGUAUAACUCUCAAAAAGUCAGUUUGCCUCUCAUCGUGUGAUCUGUCCACCAUUUCUGCUGCUACUUUCACUGUUGUCAUGACAAGAAUCGUAUCCUUGACAACAUAAUGGAUCUGGGCGGAACCAUCGAGUCAAAGUUGUAUGGACGCUGUUCCAGUGCUCCAUGUGAGCAACACGAGAAAUCUUGCGUAGGGAGUUGGUGAUCUCUUUGAUAAUAACGUCUGCCGUGGACUUGAAGUGAGGUGUCACCAGACGUAAGCAUUUUACUGCAGUACCGAUUAUGUUUGUACUCUCCGAAAGACGCAGCAUCACCCCAAGCCGAAAACUGUUCUUGGGUUGCUUGUAAUCUUCGUAUAUAAAGGAUAGCAAGGCCUCCA
This is an RNA transcript of Triticum aestivum (bread wheat), 1424 nucleotides long. RefSeq lists it as uncharacterized. NCBI's taxonomy places the organism in Eukaryota, Viridiplantae, Streptophyta, Magnoliopsida, Poales, Poaceae. The record is from RefSeq and is a predicted model, not a curated record. The transcript is spliced from 4 exons.